Podarcis lilfordi (Lilford's wall lizard) is the source of this 36411-nucleotide non-coding RNA. The record is from the annotation of a GenBank genome assembly. Lineage: Eukaryota; Metazoa; Chordata; Lepidosauria; Squamata; Lacertidae.
GGAGUCUUCUCUUCUCAUGAGGUGGCCAAAGUAUUGGAGCCUCAGCUUCAGGAUCUGUCCUUCCAGUGAGCACUCAGGGCUGAUUUCCUUCAGAAUGGAGAGGUUUGAUCUUCUUGCAGUCCAUGGGACUCUCAAGAGUCUCCUCCAGCACCAUAAUUCAAAAGCAUAGCUUUUACUAUACGGACCUUUGUUGGCAAGGUGAUGUCUCUACUUUUUAAGAUGCUGUCUAUGUUAUGUUAGUUCAGGCAUAAGAACUCUGUGGCCGCAGGUUCCUCCCCUCCUAUGUUAUUAUUCACUGAUUCGCGGAGAGAGGGAGAUGGACACAUGGAUAGAUAUUUAUUUUAGUUCAUUAGUUAUUUCAUUAAAUUUAUACAGCGCUUUGAAGGAGGUUCUUUUUUAAAAAAUAGAGUCAAACAAUAAAAAUUUCAGUAAAAACUAAUAAUUUCAAAGAGAAAACUGGCAAUAAACUCAAAACAAAUUCAAACACACGCCAACAUUCUGCUUGCCUGGGUAGGCUUGCUUAAACAAAAAAUGUUUUUUCCACAGUGCAGGACUAGCUUGUAAAACGCUCAUUAUAUAUUUACUGGAUGUAGCUAGAUUGACAAUCACCCAAGGAUGGAGAAAUCUGCUGGGCUUCUCUUCCCUUCAUGUUCAGUUUCAGAAGGCUCUGCAUAUUCACAAUUUCAGAAAAGUUGAGUCAUUCAAAGCAUGUUUCACAAGGCACAACCAAGCCAAUGGACUAUGGUAUCACAGGGUAGAUUUAUUUGUUUGUUUGUUUAAUGAUAUUUAUACAUCACCUGAGGGACACGGGUGGCUCUGUGGGUUAAACCACAGAGCCUAGGGCUUGCCGAUCAGAAGGUCGGCAGUUCGAAUCCCUGCGAUGGGGUGAGUUCCCAUUGCUCGGUCCCUGCUCCUGCCAACCUAGCAGUUUGAAAGCACUUCAAAGUGCAAGUAGAUAAAUAGGUACCACUCCGGCGGGAAGGUAAACGGCGUUUCCGUGCGCUGCUCUGGUUCGCCAGAAGUGGCUUAGUCAUACUGGCCACAUGACCCGGAAGCUGUACGCUGGCUCCCUCGGCCAAUAAAGCGAGAUGAGUGCCACAACCCCAGAGUCGGUCAUGACUGGACCUAAUGGUCAGGGGUCCCUUUACCUUUAUACACCAACUGAUUGUAAAAAAUGGAGAGAGAGAAAUCCUUCACUGCAGCUUAAAGAGAAUACGACAAUAACAUAAGGCAUUAUGUCCACUGAAAUCCAAAAAAACUUUAGAACCAUCUUUAUGUAUGCAACCAUGGCGGCCAGAAUUCUGGUAGCAAAAAAUUGGAAAGAUGACUUAAUUUGUACAAAGCUUGACUGGCAGGUGAAGAUCAUAGAAUAGCUGGAACUUGCGAAAAUGACUGGGAGAAUAAGAGGAAACUCAAAUCAGAAAGUGAGCAAAGAAUGGACAAUAUUUAAAGAAUAUUUAAAACAGUAUUGCGAAAAUGCAAAUCUGCUGACAGGUGUAGAUUGGAUCUUGAAUAUUAAAAUUAUAAACGUAAAAAAAAUAUCUGGAUAUGUAAUAGAUAUAACAGGAAGUGCGUGUAGAUUAAGAAUAUUCAGAAAGCACAAUGAGGUGAUUCGGAAGUCAAAAAUAUGUGUAGAUGAUGUGUAGUCAAUUAAUGUUUAGUUGUCAUUGUGGUAUUGUUUUUGUCUGUUUGUGCUGUAUGUUUUGCAAUAAAGAUAAUAAUAAAAAAUAAGGAGAAUAGAACAAUAAAAUCAGCAAUUAAAAUAGUUCAAAGAAACUAUUUAAAAGGUUCAGCAAAAAAAUCAAAAUCAGCAAUAAACUAAAGCAUAUUAAAGCACACAUCAACAUUUUACAUUUCCAUUUAGACUUGCCUAUACAAAAAUGUUUUCAGUCCAGUGAAGUCCAGUGAAGGCACCCAUCUGAUGUCAAAAGGAAGGCUGUCCCAAAGCCAAGGUACUGCAACACACCAGUGUUGCAUUUUUCUACACAUUACUUGGCUGGAGGACUGCAUGGCGAAAUUCAGAGAAGUGUGAACCCAGUCGGAUGAGCGGGGUACAAAUUUUUAAAUAUAUCAUUAUUAUUGAAGGAUGGCUGGGUUUCGGUUCAUGUAAUGUUUUGAAAAAGUUCAAUUCUGCCUUUUAUCAUAUGUGGCAGACCUGUAAGGCAAUAAAAACAUAUUGGGAGAUGAGAUAUAAUGAGCUUAAAAAAAAUGUUCAAAACAACUUUUGUAAAGAAACCAGAAGCCUUUUUAUUAGGAAUCACAGGUGCUGAGAUACCAAGGGAGCACAAAAGACUAUCAUGUAGGCAGCCAGGAUACUCUUAGACCAAAGAUGGAAGGACGAUACAAUACCUACAAGAGAAGAGUGGACGGUAAAACGGAUGGACUAUGCUGAGAUGGCCAAAAUGACUGGAAGAACCAGGAAUCAGGACAAUAAAAACUUCAGCAAAGACUGGGGGGGAAUUGUAGUAUAUUUGACAGAACUCUGUAAAUGGUUGAAAACAUUAGCAGGAUUGAAAUAACGCUAUAAAAAGAAUUAUAGGAGAAAAUAGAGAUUUAUGGAUAAAUGGAGGAUAACAGGAUAUGCAGUGAACAUGAUUAUCAUCGGACCCCACAAAAGGGAGAAUGAAAGUCUGAGAAUCCGGAGAAUUCUAUAUUUUUGGAUUGUAUUUUUCUUUGUUUGUGAAUGUAAAACUAAAUUGCAAAACCAAUAAAAAUUAUUAUAAGAAAAGUGCAAAUCUGGUGGAUUUCCCUUUCAAUGUGACUGGAAUAAAAUUUCUUCCCAUCCCCCUCUCAGCCUGCUGUUGCCUUCGCCAAAGUAGAACGCUCUGAAUGGGCAGCUGUAUUUCUAUCCAAUCAGAAUUAAUACCGCGUUCCUUCGCUGUACUUGAUUUUCUCAUUGGUCCGCUGCAGCCAAUGGGAGAGCUCGCUGCACAUUAUAGCAGGUUUUAGACCUGUAGAGCUCUGAGGUUUUGGAGCCGAAGUACUAAGGCGCUACUCUUGGAAGGUGUGUCGCUUGGGAUCAAGCGGGACUCAGACAGUGUGACUCCUACGAUGACAGCUCCUGGCAACUCUCGAUUUAGAUAUUAAGAGCUAAUCUAAGCGUUUGGCUUCCUCCCUGCCCCUUUCUCCUCCGCCUGGAGGCUGAUCCCAGCUUGUCCGUUCUCCAAGGUGGAAAUAAUGAUUCACCCAGACUUUAAGUUGACCUAUUGAGAAACGAUGGAGGGAUCGACACGCUUGCCAAGAAAGAUAUUUGAGGCCCUCGCUGCAGGGUUGACGUUAUUCCAAGUCGGAGCAUAGCGUGGUAAACCGAACCACUCUUUCCAGUUAUCUUGGCACUGAAUCUAUCGGGCUUCAUCUGCUGUGUUUACUAUUAUGUUGGGCACAGCUACCCAUGUUGCCAGGCGGUGUUCAGCGCACCCGCGAUAGAAAAAAGCUUUGUAAAAAAAGAGAGCGGCAAGGUCCUCAGUGAAGUGCAAACACUGGUUUUAACUCUGUUCCCUUUUUAACCCGUCCUCUCUCAGAAGAUCCAAGCCGGUUUAUAAUUCAGAUCAAGUUUUCCUCGUCCUCUUCUUCCUCCUUCCUGAAUUUACUCUGCCCAAAUGUUCAAAGGGCCCCACCAGUGACAAACACGCCAGCAAUUAAAAGAGCUUCUAUCAGAAACCAAAGGCACUGAGUGCAUUUGAGAUUAUAUGUUCCGAGAUGAAGCAUACCAUUCCUUAUUUGCUUUGAGCUGAAAGUUAUCUAUCUUCGUUAUUUCUUGAGAAUGUUCUCAUUAGAAGAGUUUCAUAAUAUCAUGGCUAGCAUUUAAAUCAGCAUCCCUUCUGACUCUGUUCACAUUUUGCAUAUUUGAGUAUUUAAUAAUGAGGUUGCUGCUUUCAUAGCAAAGUUCGUGCGUGGAUAUAGAUCAGCCUUUGCCAAGCUGGUGCCCCCCAGAUGUUCUGGGUGACCAUUCCUACCAGCUCCAGACAGUGCUUCUUAUGUAAAAUAAAUGCUUAAAAAUGCAAUGACCAAUAACUUUGUCUGCAGCCUCUACAUAAAAUAAGUAACGUAUUUUUCGCUCUAUAAGAUGCACCCGACCAUAAGACGCACCUAGUUUUUAGAGGAGGAAAACAAGAAAAGCCAGCAAUAGCCGCAGAUACGCUCACUCAGUGCAGCUCUUUAAAGCUAGAGCGGCUCUUGCUGGCUUUUCCAGGAAAUGGGAGAAGGGACUGACGGGCUGCUCUCCGUCCCUUCUCCCACCUCCCUGAAAAGCCAGAGCAAGCUGCGCUCCUCUGCUGAACCCAGCAGAGCAAGAGUGAGAGCUGUGCAGCGCCUCUUGCUCUGCUGGCUUCCCAGCGAAGCAGGAUGAGGGACAGAAGGGGCUCCAUAAGGGUCCCUUUUCUCGUCUCCCUUUUCUCUGCUACGAUAAGUGCGAAGUGUUUUGGAAGGGGUUCCAUGCAGGUCUACCUAUUUGUACUUCCUGAAACAAUCCUGCUGCCCUGGGCUGCUUUGGGAGAAAGGACAGAGCAGAAAGUUAACAAAUUAAUUAAAUAAAAUUAAAUAUUUGACGUGAAACACAGCCAUCCUUUGGGGCGGGGAGGGAACCUUCACAAUUUGCAUUUCUCAGGAUUUUGCAGCGCAGUUCAGCAGCCGAGUAAUAUGUGCAAAAAAUCAUGCGCUGGAGCGAAUUGUAUGUAAACAUACAUAUAUGAGCAAAAAUAUACAACAAUGCACUUAAUUGGAGGAAAUUGCUUUACAAAAACAUACAUACAUGAUUUUUUUGUUUGAAAAAAAAACAUGCAUGCAUUUCUUACUAUAUAAUUCAAUUAUAAGCCAGCAUCACUCUGUCUUCCAAAGUAUUUGCCUUUACGCAUCCAGUUCCUCUUGUUUCUGCUGUGAGAGACAACUGUCAGUCAGUAUUCUUUGCCUAUUGGGCAAACUGAGUCUGGGAAAACUAAUGGAUUGUAGCUCAUGUUUAGCACUCAUCGUUGAGCUGGGGGGGGAGGGAACUCCCCUCCCUUAAAAUACUUUUAGCUACAGGUUUUAUUUUUAUUGAAUUUCUGCAAAACUUAGGGUUCCCCUGAAUCUGCUGAUUGCUCCCUCUUGUGCAUGGGAUUGCUGCUUGGGCUAAAAAAGGAAAGACACUCACAUCCUGGAGACUGGAAAUAGGAGGAAUGAUAUAAUCGUUGGCCAAUGUUAGAACAGCAACUUUGCACCAGGCAUCUUGCAAAACUCCGCUCGGGUCACCCCGCAAUUGAUACUUGCCUACAGAGUCUGGAUUUGCAUCAAAAUAUCCCAGGAUGUGCCCUUUGCCCAUUGGGGGGAUUUGGGCUUGGGGAUCCGGGCAGCCUCACUUCCGCUCCACGUUCUGCAGCUGGAGAUGACGGCUGCAGAGUCAUUGCCCUUCACCAUUCCAAAUGUUAGCCUCAGAGGUUGACGCCUCUCCCUUGGCAACCGGACCACAACAGAGAUUCGCUUUCAGUUGCCCCCACUUUCUCUAGACCUCCUCCUUCAGGGCGGAAGGUACACACAGAGGGGGGAGGGUGCUAUUCUAUUUAAGGUGUGUUGUCGUCAGGCCGUGUGAAUGUACAGUGGUGCCUCGCAAGACGAAAUUAAUCCGUUCCGCGAGUAUCUUCGUCUAGCGGUUUUUUCGUCUUGCGAAGCAACCCUAUUAGCGGCUUAGCGGAUUAGCGCUAUUAGCAGUUUAGCGGCUAUUAAGGGCUUAGCGGCUUAGCGGCUUAGCUGCUAAAAGGCUAUUAAAGGUUUAGCAGCUUAGAAAAAGGGGGGGGAGCGGAAAAAAAUCUCAAGACUCGCAAGACAUUUUCGUCUUGCGAAGCAAGCCCAUAGGGAAAUUCGUCCUGCGAAGCGCAUUGAAAAAUGGAAGACCCUUUCAUCUAGCGGGUUUUCCGUCUUGCGAGGCAUUCGUCUUGCGGGGCACCACCGUAUCUGGAGAAUGAGCGAUGGCCGGGCACAUUUGAGAUGGCUAAAAAUCAGGCUGCUCCCAUUUCAACUCUGGUCUCUUUGAAGGAGGGGUCCGGAUCAAGUCUGCAAGAUCACUCUGUGUGUGUGUGUGUGUGUGUGUGUGUGUGUGUGUGUGUGUAAAAGGGCCUUCUAUAUUCCUUGUGUCAGAGGUGGGAUUUCUUCUUCUCUGAGAGAGACCUAGACAAAGUAUUUCCCCACUGCUGUGCUAGGCAGAGUCUGACCCUCUCCAGUGUGUGUGUUGUGUUGACUUUGAUGAAAACCACUCGCUGCUGCCUAGAUGAUCUGCUCCAGUCAGCCGAGGUGGUUUUCCUCCUUUUUAAAAAAUAAAAUGAAAUAAAUUUCAUUGGUUUUACAUAAGUUUUGACACAAUAAAUGUAACCGUUCCAAAACAUAGAAAUAAAAAGGUUAUUUCGAACCUACAGACCUUCUCCCCUCCCUCCAUGCGUUCCAUUUCCAAAGAUUUUUUUUUCUUUUUUCUGCAUCAUUUACCGUUAUCCAUCUGUUAUAUAAUCAUCGUAACCAAAAUUCGUUUCACGUUACAAGUGUCAUUGUAUCCCUGCCAAUGAUUUUAACUACAGGUAGGUAGCCGUGUUGGUCUGCCAUAGUCGAAACAAAAUUUAAAAAAUCCUUCCAGUAGUACCUUAGAGACCAGCUAAGUUUGUUAUUAAAGGGACGCGGGUGGCGCUGUGGGUUAAACCACAGAGCCUAGGACUUGCCGAUCAGAAGGUCGGCAGUUCGAAUCCCCGCGACGGGGUGAGCUCCCGUUGCUCUGUCCCUGCUCCUGCCAACCUAGCAUUUCAAAAGCACGUCAAAGUGCAAGUAGAUAAAUAGGUACCGCUCUGGCGGGAAGGUAAACGGCGUUUCCGUGCGCUGCUCUGGUUCGCCAGAAGCGGCUUAUCGAUUUUCCAAUAAAAACCAUGCAAUUAAUAUAUCCAAUCAUAAUACUCCAAUUAAAAUAAAAAACUAAAAUAAAAAAACCAAAUUAUAGUCCAAAUUAUAAUUGUUAAUUUUUCGGAGCUCUCCAAGGUCUGGAUCUCUAAAGCAUAUCUCCACAUCUCAGUCCUGCCUCUCCUUGUUUUUUCCAUAUUUUCCACAUCUCGAUUUUGACGCUUUAUAAUUCUCCGUCCCUGAGUUCACGAUUCUCAAUCAUGUCAAACAUCAUAUACUUUCAUCUGUCGAGUACAGCUUUAUUAGUAUAUAUUUUCCCAACUGCCUUUUUUAUCAGCGCAGCUUCCUCUGACUCCAUUCCAAUCCAGCAUGUUGUCAAAGUCUGUUACCUGAAGUUUAAUGGCGCAGCAACUCCCAAUCAUUAAUUGUCCAAACCUUCCUUUAGAGUUUUAUUGAACCAGUACCUUCCAAGCUGGGACGCGGGUGGAGCUGUGGGUUAAAUCACAGAGCUUGUUGAUCAGAAGGUCGGCAGUUCAAAUCCCCGAGGCGUGAUGAGCUCCCGUUGCUCGGUCCCUGCUCCUGCCAACCUAACAGUUCGAAAGCACGUCAAAGUGCAAGUAGAUAAAUAGGUACCACUGCAGCGAGAAGGUAAAUGGCAUUUCCGUGCGCUGCUCUGGUUCACCAGAAGCGGCUUAGUCAUGCUGGCCACAUGACCCGGAAGCUGUGCGCAGGCUCCCUCGGCCAGUAAAGCGAGAUGAGCGCCGCAACCCCAGAGUCGGCCACGACUGGACCUAAUGGUCAGGGGUCCCUUUACCUUUACUUACUUUCCAAGUUAAAUUGUUAGGCAAAGCUGUUUGCAAUAUUACAAUGUAGAUAAACUGUAUUCCACAAAUAUCAGACCUUUGGUGAUCAACUAGCCUUUGGAGACCGCACCCUCCCCCCUCUGGACCCCAGAGGGGGAGCUGAUAGACACCAUUUAGCCUUCUCUCUUGCUCAUAGUGAAAAUGAAUGACUUCUGCAAACAGCUGCACUGUGUAAUGUUCCAAGUUGUUAUUCAAAUCAUUGCAGAAAUCAGCCAGCAUGUAACUCCUGCUUCAGAAGGGAGUUCUGGUUUAGCCAUCCAUACUGUAGCUAGAAAGGGACGCGGGUGGCGCUGUGGUCCAAACCACAGAGCCUAGGACUUGCCGAUCAGAAGGUCGGCGGUUCGAAUCCCCACGACAGGGUGAGCACCCGUUGCACGGUCCCUGCUCCUGCCAACCUAGCAGUUCGAAAGCACGUCAAAGUGGAAGUAGAUAAAUAGGUACCGCUCCAGCGGGAAGGUAAACGGCGUUUCCGUGCGCUGCUCUGGUUCGCCAGAAGCGGCUUAGUCAUGCUGGCCACAUGACCCGGAAGCUGUACGCCGGCUCCCUCGGCCAGUAAAGCGAGAUGAGCGCCGCAACCCCAGAAUCGGCCAAGACUGGACCUAAUGGUCAGGGGUCCCUUUACCUUUACUGUAGCUAGAGACUUUCCACCCCUACUGUGGCCGGAGGCUAUUCAUGCCUACAGCAGCUCUUCAUUGGCCUGCCUCUCAUCUCAUCCUUGUGUUCAUGGAGGGAAUCAUGCAAUAUCCGCUGGCGGGUGGUACAUCUGCCGGUUUGGACAGAGGAAGGGAUUUGCCCGUGGCUCUUUCGGAAACGAACCCUACUCUAUCCCCAGUGUCGCUGUCUGCAGCUGUGGCUGACAUUUCCUGAUACGGCUCUUCUGAUAAUUAAGAUCGGUCUUGACCUUGCGCUUUGUGCAAAGCCUCAACCGGAUCUCUCUCUCUCCUCCUCUCCUUUAGAAGGAGCACUCAGCUCUAAUGAAGGCUACAAACACCCUCCAGCUUCCUGCCUGAUUUGUGACCUUAGCAGGUGUCCACUGAGGACUGGCCACUUGUUAAUUUUAAUUGAUUGUCAUGAUUUACAUCUGAGCGGGGCCUCGCUUUCGCGCACCUCCAGGGUCAAGGAGCGUUAUUCCGAAAACCAGGAGACUUCGCGUUUCCAACGCAGCCUAGCUGGCAAAUGAAUGGCAAUAAAUAAUAAUUCCAUCUGGGAGAGCAAAGGCAGACGGUUGAGAAAUGAAUUCAUUCAUUAGCCAUGAUUGCGUCGCUGGAGGAAGGAGGGGUGGAGGAAAAUCUGGGAGACGGGACUGAGGAAAUGUAAGCUUAAACUUUUGCUCUUUUUCUCAAGAAACAUCCAUAUAGGAAUACAGGGUGCCGGCUUACAGUGAGUCAAAAUGUUGGUCCAUUUAGUUCAGUGAUGUCUGCACUGCACAUUCCCAACCCUACCUGCAGAGGCUGGGGAACAGAGACCUUCUGCCAGCAAAGCAGUUAUACUGUGAUGGCCUGGGACUCAGGUUUGGGCUCAAAACCAGAGGAGUCUCAGUCCGCACCGGAUCCUUUGCCUCAGGCAGCAUCUGAACCUAGUCUGGGGCCUGAUUCUGAAGAGCCCCAGUCUGCACAGGUUCCCCUGCAGCAAACACCAGCUGGGCCAAGUCAGGGGCCUGAGCCUGCCCUGGCUCCAGAUGCUGGGAUGACCUCGUUGCCUCCAGCUGGACCAUCACUUACAGCUGCUCCACUACCGGUUGGGUCAGGGGAGGCUGAGGCAGCCCCUGGGUCUAGUAACCCACCGAUGUCUCCCGAGCUGCAGAGACUAAGGUCUGAGAGAAGGAGAGACCUGAAUACUCGCAGGAGGAGUGCUCGCCUUCGGGCGAGACAGGGAGGUGAGUCACCAGGGGAUCAGGACUGGCCGUUACCCCGACAAAGAUAAAUGGCUGUCGGACCCCGCCCCAGGUUGUGAGAGUAACAUUGCUGUUUGCUAGUAGCUGCCUGAGACCCUGUGCCGGUCCUUGCCUGGUUUCCUGCCCGGUGUCCUGCCUUGGCCCUGUCGGACUGACUCCUAGCAGAAAGUUUGGAUUCUGGACCGGACCUGGACUGCGUUGCUCGGGUUAACCCCCGGGCCCAGCACAUACAAGCUUUUGAAAUAAAUAUAAGCAGCAGGACUAUAAGUCCGGAAACACGUUAGCAGAAACCUGUGAACUUAACAGAGAGGAUACUUCUAGCUGACAUUUCUGGGCUGGCUUCCACAAGGGCCACAGUCUCCAUGUUGAGAAGUUACCUAUCAGCUCUUUGAAGGGUCAGGGAUUUGGGUAACUGGGUUGUGGAAUGGAGGGGAGGGUGUUGUCCGUCUGAGGGGGCCAGAAAUGGGCUCAAAGUCCAAACCAGGCAGCAGCUGAGUCCCAGGACUGCAAACAAGGAUGGGAGAGGUCAGAAUCGGGCUAUUCAAAGCAGGGCGGGGGAUCAAGAGGAGAGAGAAAAUCAGUCUUUGCACAUUCCAACACAGACUUGCAUCUCCCAGACUAUCACGUGGAUCCGAACACAGAUAUCUGCUUCUGUUUGCAGUUUGAAAAUGUGCCGACGCGAGUUCUCAGCUCAAAAAACAGAUCGACGUGGAACUCUCUCUACACCAAGGGAGGAGGCCAGAGCCAAUGAGAGGAGGCAGUCGCUGGUAUUGUUAUUAUAUGAACAAUAUUAUAUAUUUAUUUAUACCCCAGGGCCCAGAAGUCUGGAAGAAGAGCCCUGGUGGGGCCUGACCAGCUUGCCUAUGUUUUGUGCAAUUCUUAACAAAAUAUAUAUUUUGUGUUCAAUGCAUGCACGAUUCUGAAUGGCGGCGUUUGAAUUUAUGCUGCAAACAGAGCAUUUCCGACUCUAUACGAACAUUCGCUUUUGCACUUUGACGGCGUGACAGCGCAGCCCUCGUUUUCUUACGUGCAUUUGAACUUUUCCCACGAGUGAAACACCGUGUGGAUGCAACAAAGCUGUUGCGCGAUGCAUGUUGCGUUGUGCUACGCACACGAGUUGAGCAUGUCUGGUUAGUUUGGCAAGAGUUGUGAGGACGUUUAUACUAUUGAUAUUACUCAGUAGAAUCUUAAUAUUCUCAGGCUGAGGUCGAGGGGGAACCCCUGUGGGGCAGCCUCUACUGCCCCCCACCCCCAGCAGAAAUCUGUAAAUGUAAAUUGAAAACUUGUUUCAUCUUUUGGAUCAAAUGGAGCGCUGGCUACCCUGUAAUAAUCAGGCACAAUUUAAAGUGCUGGCAUUGAGAUAGACAUCCCUACACAGCUUAGGUCCAAGCUAUUUGAAAGACUGUAUCCCCUCAUAUGCACCUGCCUGGGUUUUGAGAUCUUAAGGGGAGGCCCUUCUUUCAGUCCCAACCCAACCCCCCCACCGGCAUGCUUGGUGGGGACACUUGAGAGGGCCUUCUUGGUGGUGGCUUCUCCCAGACUUUGGAAUUCCCUCCCUAGAGAAGCUAGACUGGCUCCCUCUUUGUGGUCCUUCCCCUGGCAGUUGAAGGCUUUCUUGCUUCAACAGGCUGCUUUUAAUGAAAAGGCUGGUGCUGUGCUGUUUUUUAUUAUCUGAUUUUAAUUAUAUUAAUGUUUAAUUUAUUUUUAAUGAUUUUAGUGAUGGGGGGGCAUGAUUUUAGCUCACGUCCCUGCCAGGAAAAAUGUCAGGGAAGAAGAAGAAGAAGAAGAAGAAGAAGAAGAAGAAGAAGAAGAAGAAGAAGAAGAAGAAGAAAAAGAAGAAGAAGAAGAAUGCUCUGCUUCUGCUUCUGUUGGUGUGAGACAGCUUGGGAGGAUUUGAAAUGUUUUCAACGAUGGAUAUUUGUGCUGCUACUUUAUUUCAUUUUCAUUUUCAUUUUUGUUUUAUAUAACUGUGUUUUGGCUUUCUGUGCUCCUUUUGGAGGUCACAAGGGUAAGGCUCCUUUCAGAGCUGGCAUGGAAGAAGGAGGGAGGGAAGGGGCAGAACAGAGAGGGAAACAGCAAAUUGAUUUAUUUAUUACAUUUAUAUCUCACCUUUCCUCUUAGAAGCUCAAGAUGAUGCACAUGAUUCUUUCUCUCCCCCCCCCCAUUUAAUCCCCACAACAAUCCUGAAAUCUAGGUUUGGCUGCGAGGCAGUGACUGGCCCAAGGCCACCUAGUGAGCUUUAUGGCUGAGUGGGGCUGUCAGCCCUGUGUGGGAUCACCAGCCUCAUAUAAGCAACAUGCUUAAGUCCAUUUAAUGCAUGAAGGGGUUAAGACCAUAGAGUAAGCUGUCCUGCCAGGCUUAGCUGACUUUGGGAGAGACUAAGGCAUCCAUUAGGGAUGUGGGUGGCGCUGUGGGUUAAACCACAGAGCCUAGGACUUGCCGAUCAGAAGGUUGGCGGUUCAAAUCUCCGCGACGGGGUGAGCUCCGGUUGCUCGGUCCCUGCUCCUGCCAACCUAGCAGUUCAAAAGCACGUCAAAGUGCAAGUAGAUAAAUAGGUACAGCUCCGGCGGGAAGGUAAACGGCAUUUCCGUGCGCUGCUCUGGUUCGCCAGAAGCGGCUUAGUCAUGCUGGCCACAUGACCCAGAACAUGACACCAGCUCCCUCGGCCAAUAAAGCGAGAUGAGCGCCGCAACCCCAGAGUCGGUCAUGACUGGACUAAUGAUCAGGGGUCCCUUUACCUUUAAGUCACCCAUUUGUUCCCCUCAGUCUACCUGAGAGGCUCCACGUGUGGAGAGAGAGAGAGAGAGAGAGAGAGAGAGAGAGAAAGGGGGGAAGAGAAAGAGAGAGAGAAUCAGGUACACAAAUACAAUACUGGGCUUGGGCAGCUAGGCUCUCAAUGCAGGGAUUUAUGGAAUAAAUGGGCAACCACUAAUCCUUUUGUCUAAAAGCACUAGGCAACCAAUGUUCCCAGUAAAGGGUGCUUCCUCCUUCAUUCAGAUAAUCUAUCAAAGCAGCAACCCCUCCAUAAAACCCAGGCACACGUCUUGCUAUUCACAGCCUCCCCGAGCAGACGUCCUCCCUUGCAAAUAUUCUGCCGCUGCAAUUAAAGGAACAUCUGGCCUUUGAAGGAAAACGUUGCACUCGCAAAGACCUCUCCUCCCUUCUGUUAUCUGCAUACCAUUCAUAGCGCCCAAGUCCUUGGACCGUUGUGCAGAAGCCAGAAGGCGUACGCAACAACAACGCAUCCUGCGCUCUGCAGAGGAGGAGAACCACUGCUUCAAAACCACAACGCAAAACGGAGCUGGGUCAAACUGAGCUGUGGACCUUCCUUCCUCAGCUUUAAGUCAAUGGUUUUAAGGGCCUUGCUGGAUUAGACCAAAGAUCUACCUAGCACCCCGAGCCCAGUUGUAAGGAAUUCUCAUCGUAGCAAAGAGGCGGACCUCCAUGAUAGUAACAUCUGCUAUGCAUGCAGAAGGGCCAAGCUGCAAUUUCUUGCAUCUCCAGGCAGGAUGCAUCCCUGGAGAGCUACUGCCAGUCAGUGUAGAUCGGGCUUCCUCAACCUCGGCCCUCCAGACGUUUUUGGCCUACAACUGCCAUGAUCCCUAGCUAGCAGGACCAGGGGUCAUGGAUGAUGGGAAUUGUAGUCUCAAAACAUCUGGAGGGCCGAGGUUGAGGAAGCCUGGUGUAGAGAAUACUGAGCUACAUGGAUCAGAUUUUUGAGUCAGUGUAAGUCAGGGAUGCGGGUGGCACUGUGGGUUAAACCACAGAGCCUAGGGCUUGCCGAUCAGAAGGUCGGCCGUUCGAAUCCCCACAACGGGGUGAGCUCCCAUUGCUCGGUCCCUGCUCCUGCCAACCUAGCAGUUUGAAAGCACGUCAAAGUGCAAGUAGAUAAAUAGGUACCGCUCCGGCAGGAAGGUAAACGGUGUUUCCAUGCACUGCUCUGGUUCGCCAGAAGCAGCUUAGUCAUGCUGGCCACAUGACUCAGAAGCUGUCUGCGGACAAACGCCAGCUCCCUCGGCCAGUAAAGCGAGAUGAGUGCUGCAACCCCAGAGUCAUCCGCAACUGGACCUAAUAGUCAGGGGUCCCUUUACCUUUAAGGCAGCUGUCAAGGACUGGCAAGUGUGCAUGGGGAGAAAGGGGUUUGAGUCUGACUUGGGAGAGGGGAGCAGUGAUUUGUAGGGAACUGUCCCAGCCAGGAGGCAAGAAUCGGAAUCAGGGGAAGCUUCAGAGCUGGAGGGUGGAGCACAGGAUGGGGGGAAGAAGAGAUUAGGCAAGGUCAGACUGAAGAGUGGUGCUGUGGUCUAAACCACUGAGCCUCUUGGGCUUGCCGAUCGGAAGGUCGGUGGUUUGAAUCCCCAUGAUGGGGUGAGCUCCUGUUGCUCUAUCCCAGCUGCUGCCAACCUAGCAGUUCCAAAACAUGUCAAGUAGAUAAAUAGGUACCACUGCGUUGGGAAGGUAAACGGCAUUUCCGUGCACUGCUCUGGUUCGCCAGAAGCGGCUUAGUCAUGCUGGCCACAUGCCCAGAAGCUGUACCCCAGCUCCCUCAGCCAAUAAAGCGAGAUCAGCGCCGCAACCCCAGAGUUGGCCACGGCUGGACCUAAUGGUCAGGGGUCCCCAAACAUCACCCUCAGGAAAGAAUCAUCCACGUAGAACCAGAACCACCCCAAAGUGGUUCCACCCACCCCUACCUUGGUCAGCUGCUCCAGAAGGAUGCCAUGGUUGAUGGUAUCGAAAGCCGCCAAGAGGUCGAGGAGAGUGAACAGGGACACAUUUCCCCUGUCUCUCUCCCAACAGAGGUCAUUAUGAAGGGCGACCAAAGCAGUUUCUGGGCCUAAACUGGGCCUAAACCCCAAUUGAAGAGGAUCUAGAUCAGGAGUCAGCAAACUUUUUCAGCAGGGGGCCGGUCCACUGUCCCUCAGACCUUGUGGGGGGCCGGACUAUAUUUUUUUUGGGGGGGGGGGACGAAUGAAUUCCUAUGCCCCACAAAUAACCCAGAGAUGCAUUUUAAAUAAAAGGGCACAUUCCACUCAUGUAAAAACACGCUGAUUCCUGAACCGUCCACGGGCCAGAUUUAGAAGGCGAUUGGGCCGGAUCUGGUCCCCAGGCCUUAGUUUGCCUACGCAUGAUCUAGACAAUCAAUUUCCUCCCAGAGUGCCUGGAUCUGGUCCGUGACCACCUGCUCAAGAACCUUGCCCAAGAAGGGGAGAUCGGCUGUUACUUAGAUUUCCCAAGCUCAGAGAGCAUUUAUUAAGGAGCAGUUUUACCACCGCCUCCUUCAAGCAGGCAAGGACCAGCCCCUCUCACAAGGAGGCAUUAAUCACCUCCUUGGCCCAGUUAGCUGUCCUCACCCGGCUAGUUUUUAUCAGCCAAGAGGAGCAAGGGUCCAUAGAGCAAGUACCGUAUUUUUUGCUCUAUAAGUCUCACUAUUUCCCUCCUAAAAAGUAAGGGGAAAUGUGUGUGGGUCUUAUGGAGCGAAUGCAGGCUGCGCAGCUAUCACAGAAGCCAGAACAGCAAGAGGAAUUGCUGCUUCCACUGCGCAGCGAUCCCUCUUGCUGUUCUGGCUUCUGAGAUUCAGAAUAUAUUUUUUCUUGUUUUCCUCCUCCAAAAACUAGGUGCGUCUUGUGGUCUGGUGCGUCUUAUAGAGCGAAAAAUACGGUAGCUGCCCUGGCUCACCCAAGUACCUUGCCCACAACUUUGAUCCUUACCAACUGAAUACCAGCCUCUGGUAUUGCAGAAUUUGGAUUAGGGAGGGGGUGAGACCCUGGUUCUGGCCCCUUGAGAAAUGACAGUGUCACACAACUCCAAACCAUUCCCUCCAUCUAUCCAAAUGUUCGAUUUUCUGUCCGCUUCCCAAAUCGUCCCCAUAUGUCAGCUGACACUAGCUUGUCAUCAGGCUGACAUCUAAGGGCAGACAUAUGAAGGCUUUCUCCAUUCUUGGAAAAGGCUGUUGUUUUUUUGGGUUCUUGGAAAUGAAGAUGUUUUAAAAAGAAGAAGUCGUUUGCAACAGAUGUUCUGCGUAAAUGUGGGAAUCGGGGGGUAUUCGUAUCAACGCUUGCCAUCUCCCUAAAUGAAUCACCACCCUGUGAUCCUCGGAUGAAGGCCGGAAUAGGGAUUUAAUAGAUGACAGAAAUAGCGAUGCUUAGAAAAGCAAAGAAGAGAGAUGUAGCUGUCUUGAAAUCCAAAUGGCGUCUCUUGGUGCUCAAAAGUAAGGAGUAAAAAAACCCCAAAAAAUCAGCAUUUAUGUCUGUCUCUUUUGUGGAGACGAGAAGAACUUCGAAGAAAUUCCAUGGUCUCAUGGUCAGGAAAUAAGCACCACUGCAAGGAUGAACAGGACUUUUCUAAAUGCUUAGGAGUUUGCAGCUCUUAGCAAUAAGUCUCUGAGAUAUGUCACAUGGUCACUUGGUCCUCCCAAGCCAAAAUGUCCCUCCAAACAGCUGGCUCAUUCCAUAUACAAUUGGAUCCAGGAUUGGCAGAAACAUACAAACUGAUAAAUGGGUGUCUCUGAGCCAUGUACAGAGUGCUCCCUACGUAUCACUGUGGAAACAGAGGCCAGCCACCACAUUCAGGAUUAUGGGGAAUCAUGUCAGAUUCUGGGCAAGCUUGACUUCUGGCCUCCCAAUUUACAGAAAGUGAGUCCUUUUGCCAUUUACAGGAUUUCACCAUUUCAUCUUACAGGAAUACAGAACAUUCAAACCUAAGAUUAUCUAAUAGCCAAUUUGGGGGCUGAAUUCCAGUGGCUACAUAGCCAAAUCAGGGUCACUGAGGAACUAGAGAGAUAUCAGCAGGCUAAGAGGAACUCUGAGGUUUGCAAAUAUAGAUACAGAUAUGGAAAAUCUAAGGUGUUCAACAGGAAUAAAACAGCCAUUAAGGUUUGAGUAUGUUAAGUGGCAAUGGAGAGAGAGAGAAAGGAAAAGUACAGCGGACAGCAGGGGAGAUGGAAUGGAAUAUCAUGAAAAGGGGCAUGCCUGCGAGGCUGGAACCCUGAACAGGAGCAUUUUACACUACAACAUUUUGUUGCAGCCUCCGCUCAUAUAGUUAUAUUUCCAGACUCAGACAGGACUCCCAUAAGCUUCCCAGCAUGAGGGAGUAGAUCUGUUCAUCUUUUGCCAAGGGCACAGGAGAGGUUAUCCUGAGGUUCUCUGCGCUUCCUUCUGGAAUGUUCUCCGGGGAGUUACUUUUAGCUCUUCUCCCGAGACAGGGCCCAGCUACUCUGUCUCCUCUUCCAUCCUUCUCGCUGGGAAAUGAGGGGGAAGUUCAUAUUAACACUUGGUUAAGAAAUACAAAUUUUGCCCAUUCAGUGCCAGGGAUCCAUUUACAGCCGCCUCCAGCUCCUGAUCUAUUGCUUGGGAGCCGGACUGGCAAAAUACUGUUGCCAAAACGCCAUAAUUAGUGACCACGCCAACAGGCACACUGGCAACCUUUCCCUCAGUCCAGUAUGAGUCACAGUCCCUUCCUUUUUUCAGAUGAACAUGCCAAAGCUUUGGCGCUGUGGGCAGCUGUGGCGACAGCAGCGCUGUGAGGCACAUAAAUAGCUCUUUUUUCAUACGAACAGCAGGUGAUGGGAUUUUGUUUUCCCUCAGUUACUCAUUUGCUGUAUCCCCCGCCUUCCUUUCGCCCCAGCACCGAUCCUGCCUUUUUUAAAAAACAAAACAAAACAGCACUUUAUACUUGAGGCGACGUAGUGGAGCCUUCAAACAGAAGCCUUAUUAUUUUGAGAGAGAGAGAGAGAGAGAGAGAGACUCACUAGCUCACCGAAUCCUGGGCAUAGGGCAACAUCCAUUUCCAAGUCUCUUGAGAGUUUUCAAAAAUGUGAAUUCUGUGGGAUUAAAAUGAAGGGGUUGGGAAUCAAAGACCUGCGACACUGUGCCCAUGGGCCCAAAAUUGCUUUAUAGGGUUUGCUUUCCUAAAAAAGAAAAAAGUCUCUUCCUCACACCUCACAGCCAGGCAAAAUACUUACGAAUCCAAUGGGAGUCUCAAAUGGAGUUUGUGGUGCCCAGUACGUUUCUGAGCACAAUUCAAAGUGUUGGUGCUGACCUUUAAAGCCUUAAACCAUGGGUAGGCAAACUAAGGCCCAUUACUUACAUCAUAGGAGCCUACACAACACAAAACACUGUUGCCGUAUGUAGGUUUUAUUUUAUUUGUUUUUUAUCUUAUAUUUUGGAAAUGUACAUCCAGGUUUUUUCCCCUUUAAAUAUUUUGGGGGGCCUGAAGCUAUAGCUUGUUUAGCUUAUACAGUGGUACCUCGAGUUAAGUACUUAAUUCGUUCCGGAGGUCAGUACUUAACCUGAAACUGUUCUUAACCUGAAGCACCACUUUAGCUAAUGGGGCCUCCUGCUGCUGCCGCGCCGCCGGAGCACGAUUUCUGUUCUCAUCCUGAAGCAAAAUUCUUAACCUGAAGCACUAUUUCUGGGUUAGCGGAGUCUGUAACCUGAAGCGUAUGUAACCUGAAGCGUAUGUAACCCGAGGUACCACUGUACGUAAAUCUGGCACUGGGUCCACUGCUUUUUCCCUGGCUGCUCCUGAUGAUGAUGAUGAGAAUCUAGUGCCAUUUCCCACCCACCCACGGUUUCUCCCUCCUUCCUUUCUGGAUUAGACCCAGAGCUGAUCACAGCCACUCAGGGAUGUCAACAUGUUACUUUUGUGGGGUACGUGGUAUUAAUUUCUGCAAGCACCCUGGAGCCCGUGUGUGAAAUCCUACCAGUGGGCAACGCUUAUAAACUCUGCAAACUUGCUUUUUGUGGAUUUUAAUGAGUUGGCAUUUGUCUUUUGUAUUAAAGAUAGCAGCCCAGCUGCCUGCAUUUGUGGACUCUUCGUGGGGGUGGCUAAGGACUCUCCUUCGAGGCUCUGUAUCCUGCCCUGAUUUGCUCCUGCAAUUCAGAAUUGCCCUGAUCCUGGCAGCAAGGCCUCAUUCAUUCAUGCAAGCGUGAAUUGGCCCUGCACCUCCACCUAUACGCUCCCGCCAAAUGAAAAUCUUGUCUGCGGAGAGAGAGGCAAAAGCUCACCUCCUUUCCACAUUCGCUUUGGGCUGCACGCCGUAUGAUGUAGGUUGUGUACUACCUACGGGACCGCCUCUCCUGGUAUGUCCCACAGAGGAACUUACGGUCUUCAAAUAAAAACAUCCUGAAGGUCCCAGACCACAGAGAGGUUAGGCUGGCCUCAACUAGAGCCAGGGCUUUUUCGGCUGUGGCUCCAAUCUGGUGGAACGCUCUGUCACAAGAGAGUAGGGCCCGUGGGACCUGACAUCUUUCUGCAGGGCCUGCAAGACAGAGCUGUUCCACCAGGCCUUUGGUCAGGGCGCAGCCUGACUCCCUCCUCUGGCAAUCUCCACAGAACUUUAGCUUAAUGGUUGCCAACAAUUUGAUUUUAAUUAAUUUUUAUAAUGAAAUGUUUUUAGAAUCUUGUACUAUUUUAUUGUUGUUAGCCGCCCUGAGCCCGGCUUCGGCUGGGGAGGGCGGGAUAUAAAUAAAUAUUAUUAUUAUUAUUAUUAUUAUUAUUAUUACUACUACUACACAAUUCUUAAGACCCACCCACCCAUAGAUUUAUGGGAACUGUAGUUUGGGAAGGGUGCUAAUAAUAAUAUUAUAAUAAUUAUUAUUUAUAUCACGCCCGUCUGGCUGGGUUUCCCCAGCCACUCUGGGCGGCUUCCAGCAAAAUAUUAAAAAACAAUAAUUCAUCAAAUAUUAAAAGCUUCCCUAAACAGGUCUGCCCUCAGAUGUUGUCUAAAAGUCAGAUAGUUGUUUAUCUUCUUGACAUCUGAUGGGAGGGCGUUCCACAGGGCGGGCGCCACUACUGAGAAGGCUCUCUGCCUGGUUCCCUGUAGCUUUGCUUCUCACAGUGAGGGAACCGCCAGAAGGCCCUCAAUGCUGGACCUCAGUGUCCGGGCUGAACGAUGGGGGUGGAGACGCUCCUUCAGGUAUACUGGGCCGAGGCCGUUUAGGGCUUUAAAGGUCAACACCAACACUUUGAAUUGUGCUCUGAAAUGUACUGGGAGCCAACAUAGGUCUUUCAAGACCGGUGUUAUGUGGUACCGGCAGCCACUCCCAGUCACCAUUCUGGCUGCCGCAUUCUGGAUUAGUUGUAGUUUCUGAGUCACCUUCAAAGGUAGCCCCACGUAGAGCGCAUUGCAGUAGUCCAAGCGGGAGAUAACUAGAGCAUGCACCACUCUGGCAAGACUGACAGUGUGCGGGCAGGUAGGGUCUCAGCCUGCGUACCAGAUGGAGUUGGUAGACAUAAAUACCUGGUUUGCCCCCAACCUCAGAUCCUGACCCCUUUCAACACCCCAAAGAUUGCUCCCCUCCCCAACGAAGCCAAUGGGGAGACACCAUGUGGGGGAUUAGUAGUUUAUUUUAUUUUUUGGCAUAUGGCUUAGAGUGCCUUCGCGGCAGUCCCCUCUUGGCCUUUUGAACCUCGGAUGCUAUUUCUGGGCAGGCAGCCUGUCUCCCUAGCAGAUGGUGAUGAUGGUUGAAGAGCCAGAGGAGGAGAGCGGCUCUUGCAUUGGACUGCCGGAGAGUGGAGGGAGGUCUCAGAUGGCCCUCCAGGAAUGUCUAAGUGGCACAUGAUGCCGAAAGGGUUAUGUCAGCUCUGGCGGCGAUGACUGAGACACUAAGAAUAGCCCGUGCCCAGUUUGGAAAGGUGUGGGACUUAGGGAACAAAGCUUAAUGGUUUGAAUCAGGGGGCAGAAGACCUGCUGGAUGGUUGUAGAGACUCAGUGUUGGAAGCUGCACGUGGCUUAGGCUUAUUUAACUGCUUAUAUAAUCUGUUGCCUUCAUGUCCCAUCUUUCAUCCAAGAGCUCAAGGUGGCCUACGUAGUUCUCUCCUGUCAGUUUGCAUUUCUUAGCACAGAAAGUAUUGAUCUGAUGUGUAGAGAUCUUUCCUGUUCUAAUUCAUUCAACAGAGUUCUGGAAGCUCCUAAAAGCUUCUCUGCAUGAGAGAAGCAGGCAGAAGGGUUAGUGAUUGUUUGGGUUGUACCUUCAGGGAAGCUGGUUUGAGCUGAUUAUCUCUCUUCCAAUUAAGGUCAUGCUGACUAUAAAUAUAGGUCAGAAGGAGUCUGGGUUUUACCUUUCUCUUUCUAUCUCUCUUCCUUCUGGUGUGGUGUUCUGUACAUAGUAUGCUUAGUACUAGGGUUUAGUCUUAUUAUAAGUUAAGUUUAUAAUUUUUUGUAAGUGCGGCAACUGGAAUUUUAUGGACUGUGCCUGUUAAGUUGUGGAUGAACAUAUCAGAUGACACAGCGAUUCUUCAGACAGCUCUUGUUUAUUCACAGGCCCAGAACAGAACUGAACUGAAGGGUUCAGCCAGCCUGCUUAUAUAGAGCUCCAGUACAACGCAACUGUAACAACUUUCUGUAACUAUUCAAUCACUGAACGUCACCUUCCAUCCCUUAUUUGCAUAUGUGGACCUGAGUGAAAACUAUCUACAGUAUCCCCCUGCUGGCCCAGGGUGAGAACUUCAGUACAUAACAGUGCCAAUCCUGAAUGUACUGGAUCGGUGACCAUUAUUCUCGUUUGCCUUCAGCACAAGUAAAAGCUCUGCUGAAUGAAAUAUUGCCUCUGGUCUAUUUUUUUAAUCUCUGCUGUUGUGUUUUAAGUUUUUCCUCCACACGUAUGACCUCUCCUCCUCCUUGUUUUAUCUUCAAAACAGCCCUGUGACGCAGCUUGGGCUGAGAGGGGCAGUGACUGGCCCAAGGCCACCCAGUGAGCUUCAUGGCUAAAUUGGGGAUUCGAACCCUGGUCUCCUGGGUCCUAGUCUGACACUCUCACCACUGCAGCACACUUCUGGACUGCAGUUCCCAUCAGCCAACAUGGCCAAGCUGAUUUAACUCUUGCGUUGCCAGAAUGUUAAAAUGAGCCUGCCAGUGACAAACAUGAAUGUCAUUAAAUGUUUUCCCAUCGUAUUAAAAGAUCUUCAGUGGCAAGGACGAUGAAUGACGCUCUUGAAUAGAAAAAUAUUUUUCUUGAAAUUUUUGGCAGAGUGGUUUUUUUAUUAUUAUUAGAAAGGGCUAGCCAUAUUUUUGUUAAUGUGUACAUAGGUACUCACCUUCAAACAUCUGGAGGGCUGUCACAUGGAAGAUGGAGCAAGCUUGCUUUUUCUUGCCCCAGAGGGUAGGAUCCAAACCAAUGGAUUCAAGCUGCAACGAAGGAGAGUCUGACUGUUCGACAGUGGAAUGGACUCCCUCGGAAGGUGGUGGACUCUGAUUUAAGCAGAGGUUGGACGACCAUCGGUCAGGGGUUCUUUAGCUGCGAUUCCUGCAUUGCAAGUGGUUGGACCACAUGACUCUCAGAGUCCCUCCCAACUUAACGCUUCUAUGAUUCCAUCAACAUUUUUCUUUCUUUCUUUCUUUUUUUAAUAUAUCUUUAUUGGUUUAAAAUACAAUCUUACAAUAAAGGUAAGUACAACAAAGUUAAGCACAGAAAAGAAAAGAAGAAAAAAGAAAGAAAAGAAUUCUCCACAUCAAAAAGUACAAAAAGUUUAAAAGUAACAAGAAGAAGAAAAAUAACAAUUAAAAGUACCAGAUAUUUAUACAACAUCAUGUCUUAUCCAAUAAAGUCUUCUGUGAAAAGCUUCCAAUCCUUCUCAUUAUGCUUUUUCUAUUGUCUUGAUUUUAUCACACUGUUUUAUUUCUUUUUCCAUAUAUACCUCUAAGAUGUUUAUUCCAUUUAUUUAUUAUACACAAAUAUCAUUCAAUUCUGCUAGGAUGGUAUCAUUUCUACAAUAUAGUCUUAUAUAUUCCUUAAAUGUUUUCCAUUCUCCAUAUACUUUUUGAUUUAAAGUUCCCCUGACUUUUCCACUCAGCUUUGCUAAUAGGAAAUACUCUGUCAUGAGUGUUUGCCAUUCUGCUAUUGUUGGUGUUGUUUCGCAUUCCACCAUCAUUUUUCAGAAGGAGUUUGGAGCUGUCCGUGGUCCUGCAUGGAGCUGUCCGUGGUCCUGCAACCCUUGCCUUGCCUCGCCUGGGAUUUACCCCUGCCCCAACUUAUACUAGAAACCUCAUACACCUCCCAGGCCCAGCUUGUCAUGUUCAACGAGUGAUGAACUUCGGUUCCCUAAUUUCUGUGGGUCGAUUCUGAGCAGAACUUAGUUGGCUUGCAACCCUUUAUAGCUGUGAUCCGGGCGAGUCCCAACCCGCCCCCUUCACUAGAGCUGAAGUCCGUACAUCUGAAAAGUGCCUCGUGAAAUCUAUGACGGCACGGUCUGCUGGCUUCGGAGCUGUGCCGUGACUGGGAGCAUAAAUCUUAUGCUUCUGGAAAUGAAUAAUAGAAGGGGGAGAGCCAUAAAAGAAGAUGGCGAGGGGCAGAAUUCACCUCACAAACCCUGCAGACGGCCGCCAGAGGUUCCCCGCAGAGUAACGGGUGUUCCACGAGAAUGGAUCAGGGGCGCCGGACGUUACAAGAGUGAUGAGGUGCAGGGGCUUGCACUUUCUGCCCAAGCGCAAGGGAGCAAUAGCGAGUGACUGGGCAUAAAUCUCCCGCAAGGUCAAAGGCGCGAAUGACGCUAAGGUGAAGUGGGGAAGCCAUUCCCCUUAAUAGGCCGGUAGCAGGAUGCAGAAGCUUCGUGAUGCAUUGCAAAGGUAAUUGCUGCAAGGGAGGGAAGUUAAUGGCAGGGCUGAAGUCUUCUCCCGACGCUCAUGCGGAUACAUGCGCACACACAGUCUCCACUCUGGUCCUUUUCUUUGCAAUAACGCGGCAAAAUAUAUUCAGUCUUCCAGUGCAGUUGUGCUGGUCCUGGGGGUUAAUCAAGAGGCAAGGUCCAAGUCCAGUCCAUGGUCGAUGAAGCAAUAUGAAGGUAGUCUGUAAAAGUCGAAGCUGGGUGCAGGACAGGGUUCAGGCAGGAACUGACAACCACCAACAUUGCUCCCGCAACUUGGGACUGGGGCUGGCUGGCUCUGCCCCAAGGCAUAGGGUGGCCCCGAUCCUCUGGUGACUCACCUCUCCUGGCCUGGAAGUGAGCACUCUUCCUGCGGCAACUUAGUUCCCUCCACCUCUCUGCCCUGAGCCUCUGCAGCUCAGGAGAGGCUGGAGGGUUUCCAGACCCAGAGGCAACCUCAGCUUCCCCUGACGGGGCUGAGAGUGGAGCACCUGCAGGCAAUGGGUCCUCCAUCACCUCAGGAGCCAGAGCAGACUCAGCUGGUGCCUGCACCUGAGGAUCCAGCACAGGUGAGGACCCUUCAGGCUCAUGCCUCAGCUGGUUCUGUAGGCGGGGAAUCCUGUGCAGGCUGGGAUUCCUCAGGUUCAGCAUCUGAAUCCAAAUCCCAGGCCAUCACAGCAGUUUUGAAGAGGAAGGCAGGAGAAUGGGAAGGAAGGGGACACGGCCGCUUCUUCCAUUUCCCUGACAUUUCCUUAAGUGUUUAUUGAGAGCCGGUGCGGCCUAGCGGUGCGGUGUCAGUCUAGGACCCGGGAGACCUGGGUUCGAAUCCCCGCUUGGCCACGAAGCUCAAUGGGUGACCGUAGGCCUACCCUACCUCGCAGGGUUGUUGUGGGGGUUAAGCGAGGAAGCGGGGGAGAACUGCCUCGAGGUCCUUGGAGAAAAAUGGAGGAUAUCAAUGAAGCAAACCACUUGGCGCUUGAAAUUGAAACACUUUGAAUUUUCCUUUUACGCUGAUUGUGGCUCUAGGGCAGGGACCUUCUUGCAGAAAUAGUAAUGUUCACACACCCACACACCCCAUGGCCCCAGACCAUUACACUAUUACUGCAAAUAGGAACAUAGUAAGCUGCCUUGUCCUGAAUCAGACCAUUGGUCUAUCUCAUGGGUAGGCAAACUAAGGCCCAGGGGCCGGAUCCAUCCCAAUCGCCUUCUAAAUCUGGCCCACGGACGGUCUGGGAAUCAGUGUGUCUUUACAUGAGUAGAAUGUGUCCUUUUAUUUAAAAUGCAUCUCUGGGUUAUUUGUGGGGCCUGCCUGGUGUAUUUACAUGAGUAGAACGUAUGCUUUUAUUGAAAAUGCAUCUCUGGGUUAUUUGUGGGGUGUAGGAAUUCGUACAUUUUCCCCCCUUCAAAAUAUAGUCCCCCCCCACAAGGUCUGAGGCACAGUGGACCGGCCCCCUGCUGACAAAGUUUGCUGACCCCUGGAUCUACUUCAGCAUUGUCUACACUGACUAACAGUACCUUUCCAUGAUUUUAGGCUGGGGUCUUUCCCAGCCCUAUUUGGAGAUACAAGCAUAUCCGCUACUAUUGAGCCGUGGUCCUCUUCCACUACAGUCUUCUUGCCAGAGGAAUCCCACUGCUACCACCUGAGUAUCCAAGUUCGGCUACAAAUCAAGAAGUAGCCCAAGGUGCUAGCCCUCAGGAACUAGGAGAAGCUGGGCACCACCAGGGACUGGGAAGCUUGACUCUCUGUAGCCAGAACCUCAACACUCAUUGCAUACCCUCCAAUAUUUCUCUGAUGAAAAUAGGGACGUCCUCUUCUACAUCAGGGACAUGCGUGGCUCUGUGGGUUAAACCCCAGAGGCUAGGGCUUGCCGAUCAGAAGGUCGAUGGUUUGAAUCCCCGCGAUGGGAUGAGAUCCCGUUGCUCAGUCCCUGCUCCUGCCAACCUAGCAGUUCGAAAGCACGUCAAAGUGCAAGUAGAUAAAUAGGCACCGCUUUGGCGGAAAGGUAAACGGCGUUUCCGUGCACUGCUCUGGCUCGCCAGAAGUGGCUUAGUCAUGCUGGCCACAUGACCCAGAAGCUGUAUGCUGGCUCCCUCAGCCAAUAAAGCGAGAUGAGCGCUGCAACCCCAGAGUCGGCAACGACUGGACCUAAUGGUCAGGGGUCCCUUUACGUUUACCUUCUACAUCAGGAAGCUUUUCCUGGGUUUGAUCUCCCACACACAAAGACGUCAUACACACAUUGACAUUGGUCACUUUGAGCCAAUUGCAGCCUCUCCACCAAACUUACCUCACAGGGUUGUUGUAAAGGAAAAAAAUGUGAGAGGGAAGGAAUCAUGUAUAAUGCCCUCCACAGGUAAAUAGGUUGAAAUAAAAUUGUAGCUAUCAGUUGCCUUGAGUCCUUGUCAGGGAAAAAGGCAGGAAAUUAACAACAACAACAACAUUGAAAUAAUAAUAAUAAUAAUAAUAAUAAUAAUAAUAAUAAUAAUGGAAACUGUGAAAAUGAUCAGGAACAUACCAGAGAGUAAAUCCUAUUGAACUUAGUAGGAUUUAGUUCUGAGGAAAAACGCUUAGGAUUGCAGUGUAAGGCUGCCCAGUCUUGACCCAGUUACCUGGGAGUAAACUGCAUUGAAUGGGACUUACUUGUGAGUAGACAGUGUGAGGCUCAGUUUACAAUAAAGAAAUAAACAUUCUACAUGUUUCCUAAGAAAUGACCGGCUACGGAAGCAUUGCAAUGAAUGAAUUUGAAGCAGACUGGUGAUCUUUUCCUUCAAAAUUACAGGAAGGGCUUCGUAUACACCAGCUACACCAUUUCCUUCAUAUUUUAUUUUCAGUAUUAAGCUUGGCCUGAUCCAGCAGGAUCUUAUUGUGUUCUUAGGUGGCACAACUUCCUUUGGAAAAAGCUGCUUGAGAUCCGCCAGCAGGACUGCCAAUCCUUCCACGCUUACAAGGGAGCAAGAACCGUUUAACCCAGACAGACGUGCAUCCGAGUCGAUACAGGCAUAAGAUUUGGUGGCAUGAAACAUUUAAACAGGAAAGUGCAGGGGCUCGUAUCACAUGAGCCCAAUCCAUCUUUUCCAUCCUUCUCAGAAAACAUGGCCUUCGAGUGACACCGUGACAUCUCGUGUUUCCACUGCCCCCCCUUCUCAAAAAAAACACGUUUUGUUUGUUCUCUGUUUUAUCUUCCUCAAAUCACAUUGUGCGCAGAAAUGGGAAGAAGCUAACGGUCCAGUGAAUGCAAUAUAAACUUCAGAUACGCUUGUGUCCCCGAUCUGGCUAUGCCUGCAUUGCUGCCUUAUCUGGCCUCUUAUCUUGUUCCCUCUCCCCAGAGGAUACUGGGAAUUGAUGUACAAGACUGAAGUGUAGGGAGUCUCAAGAGAGAAAGCAAAUCUGUUCUUCCAGGGAGGGGAAAAACACCAUGCAUUUUCCCAUUGCUCCUUUUUGGCUCGAUUGCCUUCAGCACUGAUUGAUGGAUUGUGUUUGUAUCCCAGUGUUUUCUCUAAGAAGCUCAAAGAGGUAUGCAUGGUUCUUCCCCCCUGAAUUAAUCUCUGUGCUGGGCCCGGGGGUAAACCCGAGCAAUGCAGUCCAGGUCCAGUCCUGAAUCCAAGGGUUCUGCGAAGAGUCAGCCCGACAGGGUCAAGGCAGGAAACCAGGCAGAGUCAGGCACAGGGUCUCAGGCAGGUUCUAGCAAACAGCAAUGUUGCUCCCACAACCUGGGGCGGGGUCCGACAGCCUUUUAUCUCUGUCGGGGUAGCAGCCAGUCCUGAUCCCCUGGCAACUCACCUCCCUGUCUCUCCUGAAGGCGAGCACUCCUCCUGCGAGUAUUCAGGUCUCUCCUUCUCUCAGACCUCAGUCUCUGCAGCUCGGGAGACGUCGGUGGGUUACUAGACCCAGGGGCCGCCUCAGCCUCCCCUGACCCAACCGGUAGUGGAGCAGCUGUAAGUGUUGGCCCAGCUGGAGGCAACGAGGUCAUCCCCCGCAUCUGGAGCCAGGGCAGACUUAGGCCCCUGACUCGGCCCAGCUGGUGCUUGUUGCAGGGGAACCUGUGCAGACUGGGACUCUUCAGGAUCAGGCCCCAGACUUGGUUCCGAUGCCGCCUGAGGCAGAGGAUCCAGUGCGGACUGAGACUCCUCUGGUUCCGAGUCCGAGCCCGAGUCCCAGGCCAUCACAAUCCCCACAACAGCCCUGUGAGAUUGGACUGAGGGGUAGCGAUUGGCCCAAUGUCACUUGGUUGUGUAGGGAUUUGAACCCUGGCCUCCUGAGUGCUAGUCUGAUGCUCUAACCACUCUGCGAGGCUGCCUGCUCAUUGUAAAAUCUGAUAAACAUUUGACGCUAAAUCCUCCGUCCAUGAUAGAAUCAGGGCCUAAACUGCAUGGGAUGUUUGAUGAGAGAUUUGCCCUCAAGGACAGGAUUUCCCUUCCACAAACGUCCAGCGCAAGGCCUGUGAUCUGGAUUGGGACCCAUGUGCACACACAUAAAUGCCUGCUGGAUGUUGGAGGGUAUGUAUUUCCAAUCCUUCCAUGUCUGCAUGGGGAUCAACAUUGGAAAAUGUUGAUCACUUCUCCGACCUGGGCAGUUAUCUUUCCACAAGGGCCGAUAUUGAUGCUGAAAUCCAGCAUCACCUGAGCUCUGUGAGUGCGGCUUUCUCCCGAUUGAAGUGCAGAGUGCUUGAGGUCAUUUGCAAGGAAACCAAAAUGCUUGUUUACAAAGCUAUUGUACUACCAACCUUACUGUAUGCUUGCCAAACAUGGACCACUGUGUCACUGAAAAAAUUUACACAUCACUUGGGAAGACAGGUGCACUAAUGCCAAUAUACUGGAAGAAGCAAAGAUCACCAGUGUUGAAGCAAUGGUUCUUCAACAUCAACUUCGUUGGACUGGUCAUGUUGUGCGGAUGCCUGAUGAUCGUCUUCCAAACAACUACUCUAUUCUGAACUUAAAAAUGGAAAGUGCCAUGCUGGUGGUCAACAAAAGAGGUUCAAGGACUCUCUCAAGGCAAAUCUUUAAAAAUGUAGUAUAAACACCAACAAUUGGGAAACACUGGCCUGCGAGCGCUCCAAUUGCAGAAAAGCCUUUACCAAAGGUGUCAUGGGCUUUGAAGCCACUCGAACUCAGGACGCAAGGGAGAAACGUGCUAAGAGGAAGGCACGCUUGGCAAACCCUCACCGUGAUCAACUCCCGCCUGGAAACCAAUGUCCCCACUGUGGAAGGACGUGUGGAUCCAGAAUUGGCCUCCACGGUCAGUUACAGACUGACUGUUAAAACCGUGUUUAUGGAAGACAAUCUUACUCAGCUACGAGGGAUCGCCAAAGAAGAUGUCUGCAUGGGGGAGCCUCCCAUUGAAGCAGGUGGGACUUCCCCCAUCCCUGCAAAGCGCUGAUGUGGAGGCCUGAUCCAUACUUGCCAAGUGCCCGGUUUUAAGCACAAUGACCCUGCUUUCUUUGAAGGCCCCCACCCCGGGCUCUGCCUUUGUCCUGGGGGGGGGCCUCAACUUCAUGCGGCCUAAGGAUGGAGGCUGAGGAAACAGCUCCUGCGAAGGCAGCAGGAUUCGCUUCCCCACCAACAUGGCACCCUAAUGGAACCACAACUCCCAUCAACCCCUAGGAGAGGCGUACCCUCCAACAUUUCUCUGACGAAAAUAGGGAUGUCCUAUUCAAUUAUAAUAGUUAUUUAUUUACAUUUUUUAUUUUUACUGUUCAAGUUUAUACAUUUCACUAAUUUUACACUCAUUUUGACAUUUCAAAACUUGACUUCCUUCCCCCUCUUUCUGCGGUUCCUUAAAUUUCUUUUUAACAUCUUUUGCAUAUCCAAAUGGACCAAAUGUUCGAAAACUGGAACACCUACUUCCGGUUUUGCAGCCUUUGGGUUCUAAGUUGUUCGUGAACGAAGCUGUUUGAAAACUGAGGUACCACUGUAUUUGGCUUCUCAGCAGUGGUGGGGGUGCAGGCCAUCUUCAAGGCCCCUUCACCCACAAAUGCCUGACUCUGAGGAAGGGUUUUUACAUUCCCUACAGAGACAGUGUGAGACGCUAGCAGGCAGCAAAGGAAGAGACCACCGCCAUGCAGAAAUAGGUGGCUUUGGUCCACCUCCCCUCAGGCAGCGAAAUCUCUUGCGCCAGCCAUGCGAGGCUGUGCUUGAGCGCGAACCGGAGACGAUAGAAGAUUCGUGGUUGAAACAAAUCGCUAAUUAUCAAGUUGUCCCGGCAGAUGAUAACCCCGAUAACGGCUUAUUACCAAAGCCAUCUGCCAGGGAUGAGCCUCUUCCGAAAGGGGGUAGUGAUCUUUGCUGAGCUGCCGUGAGAAAACAAUUAAAAACUGCAUAACGAGAUAUUUUAUUAACGCUGCUUUUGCGAACGUUUCUGCAGGCCUCUCGCAGCCCGUCUCCCGGGGGGUGUUGCGCCUCUUUGCCACUGUUUUAAUCACAACACGAGAAACAGCUGUGUAAACUCGAGAUACGGCUUGCAAAAGGGAGAAAGAAAUCCCAGCGCAGGAUCGCACACAGCUGAUACGAUCUUUUAUUUACCAAAGGCUUCCAGCCAAGAGUCACUUUCCAUGAGAGGAUGAGGCGUGGAACAAAACCACAGAAACACAAACAGGAUUCUUAGGAAGUGUCGGGGGCCUGCAACAGCAUCCAGUGCCGGACCCGCAAGUUUUGAUCGGACUCUGUGCCAGGAACCUGGUAUGGCCCCAAUGGGAGCAUCACAGUGCUAGCAAUUGCUUCAGGCGGCUGCUUAGCCUGGCCUGGCCUGGCCCUACCAUUGGACAGAGUGAAGCCAUUGCCUCAGGUGAGAGAGACUGCAAAGGCAACUUUCCCUAUAGAACCCCCAGCCAUUCCCCUUUGUUGUUGUUUGCCUUCUCCUGGGUCCCUUAAUCUGUCGUGUUGCACUAGAGCAGGCAUAGGCAAACCCGGCCCUCCAGGUGUUUUGAGACUACAAUUCCCAUCAUCCCUGGCCACUGGUCUUGUUAGCUAGGGAUGGUGGGAGUUGUAGUCCCAAAACAUCUGGAGGGCUGAGUUUGCCUAUGCCUGCACUAGAGCCCAUUUAAUAAUAAUAAUAAUAAUAAUAAUAAUAAUAAGAAUUUGUUUGUUUAGUUGUUUGGUCGUGUCCAACUCUUCAUGACCCCAUGGACCACAGCACGCCAGGCACUCCUGUCUUCAAUAAUAAUACUAAUAAUAAUAAAUUUUGUUUAUACCCUGCCCUCCCCAGCCAGGGCCGGGAGACUAACACCAAAUAUGAAUUACAAUAAACGUAAUAGAGGAAAACAAACAAACAAACAAACACACAAACAAACAAACAGUUAAUUAAAAUACAGCUUAAAAUACAGCUUAAAAUGCAGCCUCAUUUUAGUAGUAGACCAUAAAUCAAGACCAUAAAGGGACAUCAGAUAUUCACCUGAGCCAGCUAUCCAUGCUGGUCCUACAUGCGCCAACAAAAAAGCCAAGAGAAAAUUUAUAUACAAAAUCCCAUAUAAGGGGUCAGAGUGAGUCUAAGCCGAAGGCCAGGUGGAACAGCUCCGUCCUGCAGACCCUGUGGAAAGAUGUCAAAUCCCGCAGGGCCCUAGUCUCUUGUGACAGAGCAUUCCACCAUGUCGGGGCCAGUGCUGAAAAGGCCCUGGUCCUAGUUGAAACCAAUCUAACCUCCUUGAGGCUUGGGACCUCCAAAGUGUUGUUAUUUGUGGAGCUUAAGGUCCUCCGCGGGGCAUACCAGGAGAGGCGGUCCCGUAGGUUUGUUUGCUUCAAAGUGUUCUGAAGCACAUCAGAUAGUUAUUGAGCUGCCUUCUUCAGUGUUGGACCCUUAUUGGUCUUGUCUAUUCAGUCCACAUGCAGUAAUAAUAAUAAUAAUAAUAAUAAUAAUAAUUUUUAAAAAUGGCAGAAUAAUACAAUUACAAAUAAAAUAAAGAUGCAUUUAAAGCACACAACAACUAUUAAAGCGUCUAAAAGCUUGCAGAACAUCUAAAAACACGGGAAAGAAUCACAUACCCUGACAGCUAAUAAUGUCAGGGUUGCUAGGAACAAUAUCUUUCAGCCAUAUGCUGCCUGGGUAAGCAUUAUAUAUAUAAGGAAUGCUUCCUGUUAAAAGCUCAUGAUGAGGGACAGAGAUGCACCUCACCAGGGAGGGCAUUUCACAAGCAGGGAGCCACCACCGAGGAGGCCCUGUCACAGUUUGCCGCCAACCGGGCAGCUCCCAGAAGCAACACCCAAUUUAAUAAGGUCUCUGAUUAAAGGGACUUAGCUGGAACGUCCACCAAAAUAGAGAACUCAUAUGCUUUGCUCCCACUGCUGCCCCUCCCCGUGACAGAAUAGAUGAAAUAUAUGCAUUAAAAAUGAUAAAGGCAUUACAGUGAUAAGGAGCUAUAAGUUCCUCCUGCGUAAGCAAAUGAUGGCAUUUCAUUCCAGACAUAAUUAACAUGCUGCACACAUAACCUAACCCCCUCUUGCUGAACUGCCACUAAAGCUUAGGAUCAUCUGGAAGCUGUCCUGCUACUUAACUGUAUAGAAAUGCAACUGAUUGAUGGGAACAGUAGUGAUUAUUUAUCGUAUUGUGGGAGGAGAGAGAGAGAAAGCCAGAAUCGAAAGCAAACAAGAUUUAAAGGUAAAGGGACCCCUGACCAUUAGGUCCAGUCGUGACCGACUCUUGGGUUACGGCGCUCAUCUCGCUUUAUUGGCCGAGGGAGCCGGCGUACAGCUUCCGGGUCAUGUGCCCAGCAUGACUAAGCCGCUUCUGGCAAACCAGAGCAGCACACGGAAACGCCGUUUACCUUCCUGCCAGAGCUGUACCUAUUUAUCUCCUUGCACUUUGACAUGCUUUCGAACUGCUAGGUUGGCAGGAGCAGGGACCGAGCAACAGGAGCUCACCUUGUCAUGGGGAUUCAAACCGCCAGCCUUCUGAUUGGCAAGUCCUAGGCUCUGUGGUUUAACCCACAGAGCCACCCGUGUCCCAAACAAGAUUUACCAUGGCUAUAAAUCGCCCAACACCUGUCACUGAGGUUGACAAACUGGACAGGGUGGGUGGGACCAACUGUUCACGGGGCAGGGAGGACAGGGGACAACAUUUUUGGUUGUAUCGGUGUUGCCUGGUGCUUCAAAAGCGCCUUUUAACUCAGCAUGCCCCAACCUGGGGUCCUUCAGGUAUUUUGGACUAGAAUUUCCAUCCUCAGUUACCAUUGAUCAUCUAGGACAAGGCUGAUGAGAACUGUAGUCUGGACUAAGGGGAGGAGCCAUGAAGGGAUGUGAGCCUACCCCACAGCAGGUGUGAUGGCCUGGGACUCAGGCUCAGACUCGGAACCAGAAGAGUCUCAGUCCGCACCAGAUCCUUUGUCUCAGGCAUAAUCUGAACCAAGUCUGAGGCCUGAUUCUGAAGAGCCCCAGUCUGCACAGGUUCCCCUGCAGCAAACACCAGCUGGGCCGAGUCAGGGGCCUGAGCCUGCCCUGGCUCCAGAUGCGGGGAUGACCUCGUUGCCUUCAGCUGGGCCAUCACUUACAGCUGCUCCACUACCAGUUGGGUCAGGGAAGGCUGAGGCGGCCUCUGGGUCUAGUAACCCACCGACGUCUCCCGAGCUGCAGAGACUCAGGUCUGAGAAAAAGAGAGACCUGAGUACUUGCAGGAGGAGUGCUCGCCUUCAGGAAAGACAGGGAGGUGAGUCACUGGGGGAUCAGGACCGGCCGUUACCCCGACAGAGAUAAAAGGCUGUCGGACCUUGCCCCAGGUUGCGGGAGCAACAUUGCUGUAUGCUAGAUCCUGCCUGAGAUCCUGUACCUGUCCUUGCCUGGUUUCCUGCCGUGGCCCUGUCGGACUGACUCCUAGCAGAACCUUCGGAUUCUGGACUGGUCCUGGACCAUGUUUCACUGGUUACCCCCAGGCCCAGCACAGCAGGACCAAGAAAACAGAGAGAAGUAAAGCUGAGGUGGUCAUCCCAGCUGACUGGAAAAGCCAUGAUGCUCUCUGUGGAGAGCACUGACUCACGGCCCCAGUGACUCUGAUGCUACAGGGGGAAGUACAUUAUGCAAAGCGAGAGUAUUAACGGGAGGGGGGGCAAUGUAAUUCCACCAGGAAACAGUUCCUCCAUAGCAACUGGUGAAUAGAUACCUUGGUUAGAACUGAAAGGACAACCCAUAAAAUGGGUAUUUCAAAAAAUACGGUGUUGUACAUCCUGGGACACAAGUUGUUGAGCUUUUGGGGGGCAAAGUUGUUUAGAUGAGCUUUUUUUGCUAAAUCUAAAAAAAAUAAGACGACAUUUCCCCCGGACAUUUUAACCAAUUUUCAGAAAUUCCACCCGGACACUAUUUUCGACGGAUGAAUCCUGGGAAAUUCCGGACAUAGGGUGCUUUAUUUGGCCACUCCCCUUGGGUGACUGUUUGCAGAUGCUAACAUAUCAUUUUGAGGACUGGCUUUCUGUAGUCACUUCUAUUGCAUCUUUUUAAUGGAGCUGUAGUUUAGUUCAGGGGUCUCCUAACACCUCACAGCACCCUUAACGAACUACAGUCUCCAGAAUCCUUUGGGCAGGGCAGUCACGAUACUUAAAAGCGGUAUAGGUAAAGGUAAAGGGACCCCUGACCAUUAGGUCCAGUUGCGGACGACUCUGGGGUUGCGGUGCUCAUCUCGCUUUAUUGGCCGAGGGAGCCGGCGUACAGCUUCUGGGUCAUGUGGCCAGCAUGACUAAGCCACUUCUGGCGAACCAGAGCAGCACACGGAAAUGCCGUUUACCUUCCCGCCAGAGCGGUACCUAUUUAUCUACUUGCACUUUGAUGUGCUUUCGAACUGCUAGGUUGGCAGGAGCAGGGACCGAGCAACGGGAGCUCACCCUGUCAUGGGGAUUCGAACCGCCGACCUUCUGAUUGGCAAGUGUGGUUUAACCUACAGCGCCACCCGCGUGGCGGGUAUAAGAAGUGCUCAAAUCCCAAAGAAAUCCAGGUAAGAUAUGAGUGGGUCAGCAGCCGUGGGAAUCAAGACAGCCCUUCAUUUGGUAUUGAAGAACCGGUGGCCUCUUUGAAGGAUCUGUGCAGUUCAGUGUUGGCUGAGGGAAGCUGUAAGAAAGGAGGUCACCUUUGGGAAUUAGCCUUGGGAUUGCAUAAGCGGAAACUUUUAAAUGACGCGUGCGGCCGUAAAUUUCCUCCUUAGCAAAUUAAAGAAAGGUUUAUGGGCUCCUGGCAUGAUUACAUCCAUAGCAAUCCGGAGUUGGGUUUCAAAUAAACUUUGCUCCCAUUAAUUAUCGUCCUGUAAUCACAAGGGGGGGGAGGAGUCCCAGCAAGGGGGGGCGCAGUUCCAAAGGAGAGCUAUGAAGAAUGAAGGGAGGGAGAUUCUUCCCUGGAACCACAUCUCCAGUUGCCAUGAUAAUUGAUUGAUUGGUUGAUUGAUUGAUUGAUUGAUUGAUUGAUUGAUUGAAUUAAACCAAUCCACUUAGACUGGUGAUCCACCUCAUUCUGAGAGUUUUAGAUAAACAGGCUUUAUGGUUUUAGAGGCCGAUGGCCUCAAAUGCCUCCUUAUCACGCCCUGAGGAUAAUUUUGCUGAACAUCCUUUCUUAACAUCCUUUCAGUGAAGCUUGUCUAGGUAAAAGGUAAAGGACCCCUGGACGGUUAAGUCCAGUCGAGGGCAACUAUGGGGUUGUGGCGCUCAUCUCGCUUUCAGGCUGAGGGAGCCGGCGUUUGUCCACAGACAGCUUUUCGAGUCAUGUGGCCAACAGGACUAAACCACUUCUGGCACAACGGUACACCGUGACGGAAACCAGAACGCAUGGAAACGCUAUUUACCUUUCUGCCGCAGCAGUACCCAGUGGCAGAGCUUCAUGGUCCGACACCGGGGGGGGCGGAGAGCAGGCGGGGGUGGGGCUGACGUGCGUCCUGGGGGCAGGGUGCGCUGCCCACAGGGGCAUGGCGCAGGUUCUGGGGGCAAGCACGCCGCCUACAGCCAUGGCAUUCUGGGGGCAUGGUGAGCGUUCUGGGAGCAGGGCACGCCACCUGAAGGGCAGGGCACCCAGCGCAGGCAGGGGGGCAGCCGUGAUGGCACCUUACCAGGAUUGUGCUGCCGGGGGUGGUGCACUUCCCGUGCACUCCUCUUCCUCCACCAGUGGUGGUAACUAUUUAUCUACUUGCACUGGUGUACUUUCGAACUGCUAGGUUGACAGGAGCUGGGACAGAGCACUGGGAGCUCAGUCUGUUGCGGGGAUUCGAACCGCUGACCUUCCAACCAGCAAGCCCAAGAGGCUCUGUGGUUUAGACCACAGCGCCACCCGUGUCCCGUGAAGUUUGUCUGGGGAUAGCCAAAAUAGGCCUUUUUCUUUCACAUCCACCUGUUGCUCCUGAGAAUAGAGUUUGCCCUAAGAGGUUUGAUUGGCAACAAGGAAUGCGGAAAACCCAGAAAUUGUACGUGUGACAAGCCAAGCCCAAGUCCAGCUAAAUCUAGUUUUAAGAGUAGAAGGGAGGUGUCCACAUACUGGCAUACCAUCCAUCUUUCUCCGAUGCAAAUCCAGGACCAACUUCAUCAGCUUGUGUCAACUGGUUGCUUUGAGCUAUUGGCUGCUUCGUUUUUGGUCCAGAAUGCUACUACUUUAAUUUCCUCCCUAUUCUAUUCUUCCUUCCCCCUUUCUCAAUCAUCCACAUCCUUCUCUCUCCUCCUCCUCCUGCAGAGCCAAUUACCCUGUCUGACUUCUGCAUCCAUAAACAAAGCCAAUAUCCAUUUCCUAAUAGCAAGGAUUCAUAAUUAAAGCAAUGCCCCUCUGAAAAACGUUUCAUAACAGCCAAUUAAGUUUUAAUGAAGGAAGGAGUCUCACAAAAUGGGGAUGGCUGUUGGGUGGGGUGUCUGUAUGUGUAAGUGCCAGAAAACUUUGUUGUUUAGUCGUUUAGUCAUGUCCGACUCUUCAUGACCCCAUGGACCAGAGCACGCCAGGCACCUCCGUCGUCCACUGCCUCCCACAGUUUGGUCAAACUCAUGCUGGUAGCUUCGAGAACACUGUCCAACCAUCUCAUCCUCUGUCGUCCCCUUCUCCUUGUGCCCUCCAUCUUUCCCAACAUCAGGGUCUUUUCCAGGGAGUCUUCUCUUCUCAUGAGAUGGCCAAAGUAUUGGAGCCUCAGCUUCAGGAUCUGUCCUUCCAGUGAGCACUCAGGGCUGAUUUCCUUGAGAAUGGAUAGGUUUGAUCUUCUUGCAGUCCAUGGGACUCUCAAGAGUCUCCUCCAGCACCAUAAUUCAAAAGCAUCAAUUCUUCGGCGAUCAGCCUUCUUUAUGGUCCAGCUCUCACUUC